Molecule: long non-coding RNA, 241 nt
Filed under: Malus domestica (apple)
Lineage: Eukaryota; Viridiplantae; Streptophyta; Magnoliopsida; Rosales; Rosaceae
Description: long non-coding RNA (MDOM_LNC019217)
Source: RNAcentral
CUUAGUAGGAGCCAUGCUUCCACUAAUGAUUUGGAUAAUUCUUAUAUGACUACUUUAAAAGGUUUAGUAUGAAUAAAAUAUGAAUAAAACUAGAAAUAUGAUGUUUGACACCAUAUAGUUUAAAUGAAUGGACUUGAUAAAAACAAGUCACACAUAUCAAAUGGGAUUACUUGAGAAGGAAUUCUUUUGUAUAUGUUCGUUUAAAUAACUUGUGUUAGCUAGAUUUGUUGAUUGUCCAAAA